This 305-nucleotide ribosomal RNA is filed under the name uncultured bacterium. RNAcentral's name for it is "bacterial SSU rRNA". It matches the Rfam family "Bacterial small subunit ribosomal RNA", at positions 338 to 635 of the family's 1533-position model. The record is from RNAcentral.
CCUACGGGGGGCAGCAGUAGGGAAUCUUCCACAAUGGGCGAAAGCCUGAUGGAGCAACGCCGCGUGGGUGAAGAAGGUCUUCGGAUCGUAAAACCCUGUUGUUAGAGAAGAAAGUGCGUGAGAGUAACUGUUCACGUUUCGACGGUAUCUAACCAGAAAGCCACGGCUAACUACGUGCCAGCAGCCGCGGUAAUACGUAGGCGGCAAGCGUUAUCCGGAUUUAUUGGGCGUAAAGGGAACGCAGGCGGUCUUUUAAGUCUGAUGUGAAAGCCUUCGGCUUAACCGGGGUAGUGCAUUGGUAACUU